UCAAAAUCGAGCAUUUCAAAUAUUUCAUGAAAUAUAUACUCAAACAGCAUGUCACAAUCUUCUGGGUCGAAACACUGAAA
This is a non-coding RNA of Caenorhabditis elegans, 80 nucleotides long. The record is from Ensembl. NCBI's taxonomy places the organism in Eukaryota, Metazoa, Nematoda, Chromadorea, Rhabditida, Rhabditidae.